CAGAGGAACCCUCGGGCCGCUUUUAUUCUUCCUCCCUUUUUCGUUCUUCUUCUUCUUCUUCUUCUUCGAUCGGAGAAUGCGCUCGAUCUGGGUUUUCUGAUCUUGGUUCGGAUUCUGGAUAAGCGAUUAGAGGCGAGAUGGGUUCUCGGGAUGAGAAGGGCAACGGCGAGCAGUGGAAGGAGAGGGAGCGCGCGACUAGGGCUUGGCGCGUCGCUCUCUUCGGAUUUGUCGGGGUCGCCGCCGCUGGCCUCGUGAGAUCAAAUUCAUCGCCCAACCAGAUUUGAUCCAGGUCCUCGCUACCCAAAGCAUCACUUGCUUGUCCAAGCUGCGGCCAAGGAGAGAGGAAGUAACUGCAUUCAUUUUCUUCAUCAAGCUGAACCAACGGGGCAAGAAAAUGCUGUGUGCAGAAGGCCUGAUCCUCAUCACAAGAAGGAGGCAACUGCACCCAAGGAGAGAGGAAAGUACUACGUUCAUUUUCUUCCUCAAUCUGAACCAACGAGGCAAGAAGCUGGGUGCAGAACGCCUGGUCAUCAUCGCAAGAAGAAGGAGACGGUUCAGGAGACUGUUCAAGAAACAUUGGCAGCUGCCAGUUACACACCCUCUUCGCCGGUGGCUGUGCGGUGCAUUCAGAAAACAGAGCGGCCUCAUGCGGCUGCGAUCUCUUGGGCGGCGGCUGUGCGGUGCAUUCAGGAAACAGAGCCGACGGUAAGUUGGCGGCCUCGUACGAUCUCUUGGGCGGCGUCUCAGCAGUGCAUUCAGGAGACAGAGCGGACUCAUGCGGUCGCGUCGUCGGAAAGUUGGCAGCCGAUCGCUUUUUGAUCUUGCCCGCCCGGUUCUUGAUAUGGCAGAGUACUUGGGUCUGGAAGACGCCGGCGACGGAGAGAAGUUCGUAUUCGUGCAUGAUCCAACCUGAAUUUUUGCUCUUGCCGUCGUUGAAAGACAAACUGCUCUUGCAACCCACGGCGAUCUCCCGUCCUUCGGCAUCUAGCGUGGUCACAAAUUCUUCUUUCUUGCUGUACAGGGUCCAAGUCCCUGUUCCGGCCCUUCGAUCCACCCUGCUUCCGACAGCGUUCUUGCGCUUUCUCAUGGCGAAAAAGUAGCCUUCUUGGUCGCCAUUCCUCAAAAGAUUCCAGGGUUCGGUGCCGUAGACGUCGGCUUCGACGACCGCCGUUGACGGCACUAGCUUUCCAGCAACUCUAUUAGCCAGAUAGUCGACAAUGAGCUCUUUAUCUGUCGGAAGAAAGCGAUAGCCGAUGGGAAUCGCCGUCGCCGUUCCGCCCGUCGUCCUCGCCAUUCCGAAUUUCCGAUCGUUGUGUCGUCGUCGACUCGUCUGGUCGGAGUGCCGCUUUCAGUGUAAUAAAUAUGGUUCGGGUCCGGACCCGGGCCGGGCCGGGCCGGGUUAAGUAUCCGUUGACCCGGUCGAAGGACCAAACCCUAUAAGCAAACUCGAGAUCGCGGCGGAGGAUCAGUUCGGCCGCUGCGAGAAGGCGACGCCGGUCGAAGACCAGGAGGUGGGGGCGAAGCUCUCCCACUUGCUUUCCAAAUUGAACCCGGCCGCCGAGGAGUCUCUCUCUCUCUCUCUUCACUUCCAUGGGACGGCGAAAAAGCGGCGGCACCAAAGCUGAAGCUGACAGCCAGAAGAGCCAUGGGCUCGCCCUGGGCAUCGCCUGCGUCGUGGGAGACAGAAUGGGGGUGGACGGCGAGGAGAUGGAGGAGAAUGCCGAGAGCUCCAACCUCGACGACUCGCCGUUGAUCGGCGCGGACAACACCAGCGCCGGACUACGACUCAAUGCUGAAAAAAAGAGUUUUUUCCCUUAUUUUUUUUAUUAUGGGUUAAUUGCUAUGUUUUUUAUAUACUUUAUAACUUUUACGAAUCUAUCACAUAUUUUUAAAAAUAACUAAACCUACUGUAUAACCUCGACAUUGUAUCAAAAGAUCAUUUGAAUUAUUAUUGGGGAAGCCAGAACAAAUACAUUCUAGGUGUUUUUUUUUUUGUCUAACAAGUUAACUACAGGAGCUGACUCCUUAUUUUGUCUUUCUAUUUGCAGGUACCCAUGAAGUAAGUUAUUCAUUUCUGAUUCAUGAGCUACUACUGGUUGCCAUCUUGUGCAAACAGCUUCUUUGUUUGCUUCUGAUCCUUUGUGUUUAGUAAUCACUUGGAGAUAAAAUAAAAGAGAGACAAUAAUACUCGUCAAUAGUAUCUUCUUUCUCUUGUUAUGAUUCUCUGCAUCUUUUUUCCUCAUUUUUUUUUUCUAACAAUAGACAUCAACCUCCAGUUUUUGUGAUUUGCUAGUGGCUGAAUAUUAUUUGAUUGGUUUGGAGAUCAUAACGAUCUUAUCAUGCGUAGAAGGGUUAUUACAAGCUAAUAAUAGACCUUAUUAGACAUGACAAACAGUCAAGGGAUGUGACACAUUUGAGAAACAUAAGAUUAAAUGUAUAGGAUAGAGCCUCAAUAAGCUUUGAUCUACCUGUGUGUUUUCUAAGAUUUGCCAAAUAUUUUAGUGAACUUCUAUUUUGUAUAACUUGUCUCCUAUUCUAAGUAGGUUACUCAGAAGCACUCAAAUGGUUUUUUUUAUUGUUUAUGCAAAUUUAAGCGUUAUUGUUGACAAAAAAAAAGUUCUGUUAUUUCUUUGGGAUAUUUAUUAGUCUAAACUAAAUGUUGUAAGUGAUGCAUCUGUUUGACCUGAGCUUCCUGGUCUGCAUCAUAGAAGUCCAUUGUUAUAAGCUUAAAUUUCUAGGCAUCAUUGUUGAUAGUAGGAUUUUCAUCUCUUUUGAUUUUCUGUUGUUAUUUACUUUUGCUUUCUUUUAUUCUCUUUUGAAAUCAUUUAUCUUUUUUUUUUUUUGAUGCAUUGGAUUCCCUUAACUUUCUUUGUCCGGCAGGAAAUGUUAAAGGAUGUUGUUAGGACAAAAACAUAUCAGAAUGUUAUUUAUCAGAAUACAUUUCUAUUCAAGAACAAGGUUGUCCUCGAUGUGGGUGCAGGAACAGGAAUUUUGUCUCUGUUUGUGCUAAAGCAGGGGCAAAACGCGUAUAUGCAUUAAGUCAUUUUCUGAAUUGCCUACUCUGCAAUGAAUUAAAUGCAUAAAUAGUUGGAAAUCAUAUCAUAUCUGUGAAAUGAGCUAUCGAGUAAUGGGGAAAUGACAGUUAUUCCCUAACUAGUUCUAGAUAUAUAGAACUGUUCUCUGAGCAUCUUGAAAGGGGUUUUUUCCCCUACUAAUAAUUUUCUUUCCUGUUUUGUGCGAAUUUCUGGAUCUCCAUGUGACUAGAUCAAACGUGUAUACACAGAGUAAUCACAAGUAUAGACUUUCUGACUG
Zingiber officinale is the source of this 3312-nucleotide RNA transcript. RefSeq lists it as uncharacterized. The transcript has 3 exons. The record is from RefSeq and is a predicted model, not a curated record. Lineage: Eukaryota; Viridiplantae; Streptophyta; Magnoliopsida; Zingiberales; Zingiberaceae.